This is a long non-coding RNA of Calidris pugnax (ruff), 2124 nucleotides long. RefSeq lists it as uncharacterized. The transcript is spliced from 3 exons. Lineage: Eukaryota; Metazoa; Chordata; Aves; Charadriiformes; Scolopacidae. The record is from RefSeq and is a predicted model, not a curated record.
AACUACAUGCUUUGACAGAAUUCAGAGGACUGGAAGACAUUGUCUGCAAACUAAAACUUCUUGAUCUGAAAAAUGUUACUGUAGUCCUUCCUCUUCCAACAUUAGCAUCUGGACACCUGCGGGUCCUAUUCUGCAAGGCUGAGGCUGCGAAGCACCUUCGACCCUGUGCCAUGGUCUUUCCUCUUUGAAUGGAGUGCUGGAAGUAGGGGAUCCCUCAAAGUCAUGGGUGAUUGGUGUUGUCAUUUAAUUGCAUUUCGCAGUGCUCAGAAUGCUGGUUCCCACUGGACUCAACUUGCUGGGAUGUCUGCAAACUCAAAGGUUUCUUUCAAGGGAAUGGAAUUACUCCUCCAGUUCCUCAGCUGUCUCUGCUGCACAAUAUCUGAAUGUGACAUUUUACAAAAAAUCUGAUGUAACGGUGCAAUUCUUGGAUCUCACAAGGGUGUACUCUGUAGGGAAUCUCUAUUCUCACCAACUUCAUUUAGACCUCGUGAUGAUAAGAAGUUGUUUACAGCUACAGCCCGAAUGCUGUGGUGGUUGUAGUACAAUUCUCUCACAGCACAACUUGUUUAUUAUAAAAGAAAAAAGUUGCAGUCAUAUUUGCAGGAAAAAUUUAGGAACAGGAUUCAGAGACCUCUUACCCAAGUCUACAGGGCAUGCUAGAAGUGCUCUGAGAGGUGUGAGCUGAUCUGUGCAUCUCACUGGGGUGUUAGAAAUCUUGUAGUUUCAGUGUUAAUGGUUGUGUUUGUUUCAUCUGAAAGCUAAGAAAAGAAAGAGUGGACCACUUAUCUGCCCAGUCAGCUGUAGGUAAUGUCUUUAAGCGAUGACCAAGUUCCUCACUUUUGCCAGAAUGCCGUUUAUUCCUACUUCAUCCUCCAGUUGAGGAGUAGCUAGACUCUGAAAACCCAAGCGCAGGUUACAGGUGCCCUUGAAAUCCUGCCCAGAGCUAGUGUGAGUAUGGAAAGCCAUAAAGUACACACUGUGGUAGUGUGAGCUUUUUAAUGAUUUAAGAAGAGAGCUCUACUGGUAAAAACUCACUGCUUCAGUUUUUAAAAAAGCAACAGUAAUAAUAAUGAAAAAAAACCAAAAACAACCCAGCCAAAUAACCAACAGUAUAAUCCCUGGAAUACAUCCAAUUUUUAUCCUCGAAAAGUACCUCAAAGUAGUAUGACUUCCUCUCUUCAGUGUGGGAUUAUUUGUGCUGAUCUAAAACAUUUCAUGCUGGCACAACUGCAUCCCAUUGUCUAAUUUUUGUGGCUAAGCAGAGCCAGGUGAAGUAACUUAGUUUUAAAAGAAUUAGAAACCCUAAUUCCUUUAAAUCAAAUUCCAAAGACAUCCAGAUGUCCAGGAUACUGAGAAAAGAGGCACAAAAAUCUGAAAAGGGAAGGUGAGUGUUUGCUGCUCUUGGUUCAUGGCUUUGGAGGGUUAGGGGUGACGCAGUGUUGUGACAAAAAAAAUCAGUGAAAAGUAUUAGUGGAAGUUUCCACCAUCUUUAAUUGCAAGAAGCCAAUGCUGACUGAGUAUUAAUGUUUCAUGGGGAAGUAAAGGCUGAAGGGGAAAGGUGGGUGAAAUUUCUUCAAAACAUUGUAACUCCUUCUGUGUAUUUUGUGGUUGAAGGACAGAGAGAUAGGAGAUGCUGGAAAGAAUUCUUCAGCAGUAUUUUAUAGGUACUAUUUAAGCUAACUUUGUUAAGGAGAAGCUCCUUUACUAUUAGCAUGCUGUCAGAUUUUUCAAAUCUCUUAAAGGCAGCACCAGGAUUUUUUUUGCACAGAUUUCCUUUGACAUACAGCCUCAAUAAGUAUGGAAAUUACAACUUAAAUCUUUUUUUUUUUUUUCUUGUAAAGCACUGCAGUGCCAAAAUUCAUUGAAUUUCAACUUUUAUUUUUUUCUUAAUGUUGAAAGACAGAUAUGCAAAUUUUACUAACAAUAUGCAUGGUUAAAUUUAGCUGUAAAUUCCAGUCAGGGAUUUCUGCUUUGUUUAUUGUCCAAGUCAAUAUGUCUGUGGAGAAAACCUCCCGCUGUGCAGGAAUACGUAGUCAGCUACUUGGAAAAGUGGAAAGUUUAAUUAUGAGAGUUUAUUCUGGAAAAAGGUAAAGAAAAGCAAGCAUCGGUUUUGGGUUCGUUUUC